Molecule: ribosomal RNA, 253 nt
Filed under: uncultured bacterium
Lineage: Bacteria
Description: partial 16S ribosomal RNA
Rfam family: Bacterial small subunit ribosomal RNA
Source: RNAcentral
UACGGGGGGGGUAAGCGUUGUUCGGAAUUACUGGGCGUAAAGGGCUCGUAGGCGGCCAACUAAGUCGGACGUGAAAUCCCUCAGCUUAACUGAGGAACUGCGUCCGAUACUGGAUGGCUUGGAUUCGGGAGAGGAAUGCGGAAUUCCAGGUGUAGCGGUGAAAUGCGUAGAUAUCUGGAGGAACACCGGUGGCGAAGGCGGCAUUCUGGACCGACAUUGACGCUGAGGAGCGAAAGCCAGGGGAGCAAACGGG